RNAcentral lists this small RNA (55 nucleotides) under Arabidopsis thaliana (thale cress). RNAcentral's name for it is "ATSL005300". The record is from RNAcentral. Lineage: Eukaryota; Viridiplantae; Streptophyta; Magnoliopsida; Brassicales; Brassicaceae.
UCUGCUGUUUCUUCUUUUUUUUUAUCAUGUCAUAUCUUUCUUUUUUCCUCUUCAA